This 468-nucleotide ribosomal RNA is filed under the name uncultured bacterium. Its description in RNAcentral is "partial 16S ribosomal RNA". It matches the Rfam family "Bacterial small subunit ribosomal RNA", at positions 28 to 507 of the family's 1533-position model. The record is from RNAcentral.
GACGAACGCUGGCGGCGUGCUUAACACAUGCAAGUCGAACGGAAAGGCCCUGCUUUUGUGGGGUGCUCGAGUGGCGAACGGGUGAGUAACACGUGAGUAACCUGCCCUUGACUUUGGGAUAACUUCAGGAAACUGGGGCUAAUACCGGAUAGGAGCUCCUGCUGCAUGGUGGGGGUUGGAAAGUUUCGGCGGUUGGGGAUGGACUCGCGGCUUAUCAGCUUGUUGGUGGGGUAGUGGCUUACCCAGGCUUUGACGGGUAGCCGGCCUGAGAGGGUGACCGGCGACAUUGGGACUGAGAUACGGCCCAGACUCCUACGGGAGGCAGCAGUGGGGAAUAUUGCACAAUGGGCGGAAGCCUGAUGCAGCAACGCCGCGUGCGGGAUGACGGCCUUCGGGUUGUAAACCGCUUUCGCCUGUGACGAAGCGUGAGUGACGGUAAUGGGUAAAGAAGCACCGGCUAACUACGUG